UACAGAGGGGGCAAGCGUUGUUCGGAAUUACUGGGCGUAAAGGGCGCGUAGGCGGCCUGCUAAGUCGAACGUGAAAUCCCUGGGCUCAACCCAGGAACUGCGUCCGAUACUGGAAGGCUUGAAUCCGGGAGAGGGAUGCGGAAUUCCAGGUGUAGCGGUGAAAUGCGUAGAUAUCUGGAGGAACACCGGUGGCGAAGGCGGCAUCCUGGACCGGCAUUGACGCUGAGGCGCGAAAGCCAGGGGAGCAAACGGG
This 253-nucleotide ribosomal RNA is filed under the name uncultured bacterium. Its description in RNAcentral is "partial 16S ribosomal RNA". It matches the Rfam family "Bacterial small subunit ribosomal RNA", at positions 524 to 776 of the family's 1533-position model. The record is from RNAcentral.